GGAAAACAAAAUCCCACUGAAGGUGACAUUACGUUAUGUAUUUUUUUAAAUAUAACAUGGUGCAUGAAUAAAACAUCAUUUCCUUUUCUUGUUCAGGUAAUUCAGGAUAUAAUUUGGUUAAAAUGCACUAGAAAUUAACAAUUAAGGGGAGCUAACUCCAUAAUUUGCUAUUAUUCAAACUAAAAGUUAUCUAGAGAUUUCUCCAAUUACCAGAUACCUAGAAACAAAAGAUCUACCAUUUCUAAUUCAGUAUAAGGGUAACAUUAAUAUAGAAUGGUUAGGUUGGUUGGUUUAUUUUAUCAUGUUUUAAUGUUUUGAUUUUUUUCAAACUUGCCUGAUUCUUACGAAGACUAGUGGCACUCAAAUUGGUUGUGUGCAACAUUCCUAUCUUCCUAUUAUGGAAUCAGUAUUAAGUUAUAUAACAUCUACCCUUU
Molecule: long non-coding RNA, 434 nt
Filed under: Mytilus galloprovincialis (Mediterranean mussel)
Lineage: Eukaryota; Metazoa; Mollusca; Bivalvia; Mytilida; Mytilidae
Source: RNAcentral